This 496-nucleotide ribosomal RNA is filed under the name uncultured bacterium. RNAcentral describes it as "bacterial SSU rRNA". It matches the Rfam family "Bacterial small subunit ribosomal RNA", at positions 28 to 513 of the family's 1533-position model. The record is from RNAcentral.
GAUGAACGCUAGCGGCAGGCUUAACACAUGCAAGUCGAGGGGCAGCAUGAUGAAACUUUCGGGUUUCAUUGAUGGCGACCGGCGCAAGGGUGCGUAACGCGUGAGCAACUUGCCCUUAUCAGGGGGAUAACCGGUGGAAACGCCGACUAAUACCCCAUAGUAUCACUUCAAGGCAUCUUUUAGUGAUUAAAGAAUUUCGGAUAAGGAUAGGCUCGCGUGACAUUAGCUAGAUGGCGGGGUAACGGCCCACCAUGGCGACGAUGUCUAGGGGUUCUGAGAGGAAGGUCCCCCACACUGGAACUGAGACACGGUCCAGACUCCUACGGGAGGCAGCAGUGAGGAAUAUUGGUCAAUGGCCGAGAGGCUGAACCAGCCAUGCCGCGUGAAGGUCACGGCCCUAUGGGUCUUAAACUUCUUUUGUAAGGGAGCAAUAAGGUCUACGUGUAGACUGAUGAGAGUACCUUACGAAUAAGCAUCGGCUAACUCCGUGCCAGCA